This 504-nucleotide ribosomal RNA is filed under the name uncultured bacterium. Its description in RNAcentral is "partial 16S ribosomal RNA". It matches the Rfam family "Bacterial small subunit ribosomal RNA", at positions 28 to 523 of the family's 1533-position model. The record is from RNAcentral.
GAUAAACGCUAGCGGCAGGCUUAACACAUGCAAGUCGAGGGGCAGCAUAGAUUGUAGCAAUACAAUUGGUGGCGACCGGCGCACGGGUGCGUAACGCGUAUGCAACCUACCCGUCACAGGGGGAUAAUCCGGAGAAAUCUGGUCUAAUACCCCAUAACAUAUGGAUCGGCAUCGGUUCAUGUUGAAAUUUUCGGAGGUGACGGAUGGGCAUGCGUAGCAUUAGCUUGUUGGUGAGGUAACGGCUCAGCAAGGCGACGAUGCUUAGGGGGACUGAGAGGUUUUCCCCCCACACUGGUACUGAGACACGGACCAGACUCCUACGGGAGGCAGCAGUGAGGAAGAUUGGUCAAUGGGCGCAAGCCUGAACCAGCCAUGCCGCGUGCAGGAUGACGGCUCUAUGAGUUGUAAACUGCUUUUAUACGAGGGUAAAGUGGGUUACGUGUAACCUUUUGAAAGUAUCGUACGAAUAAGGAUCGGCUAACUCCGUGCCAGCCGCCGCAGUAA